Molecule: ribosomal RNA, 496 nt
Filed under: uncultured bacterium
Lineage: Bacteria
Description: partial 16S ribosomal RNA
Rfam family: Bacterial small subunit ribosomal RNA
Source: RNAcentral
GGACGAACGCUGGCGGCGUGCCUAAUACAUGCAAGUAGAACGCUGAAGGAGGAGCUUGCUUCUCUGGAUGAGUUGCGAACGGGUGAGUAACGCGUAGGUAACCUGCCUGGUAGCGGGGGAUAACUAUUGGAAACGAUAGCUAAUACCGCAUAAUAGUAGAUGUUGCAUGACAUUUGCUUAAAAGGUGCAAUUGCAUCACUACCAGAUGGACCUGCGGUGUAUUAGCUAGUUGGUGGGGUAACGGCUCACCAAGGCGACGAUACAUAGCCGACCUGAGAGGGUGAUCGGCCACACUGGGACUGUGACACGGCCCAGACGCCUACGGGAGGCAGCAGUAGGGAAUCUUCGGCAAUGGACGGAAGUCUGACCGAGCAACGCCGCGUGAGUGAAGAAGGUUUUCGGAUCGUAAAGCUCUGUUGUAAGAGAAGAACGAGUGUGAGAGUGGAAAGUUCACACUGUGACGGUAUCUUACCAGAAAGGGACGGCUAACUACGUG